UACGAAGGGUACAAGCGUUGUUCGGAAUUACUGGGCGUAAAGCGCGCGUAGGCGGAUGAGUAAGUCGAUUGUGAAAGCCCUGGGCUUAACCUGGGAACUGCAGUCGAAACUGCUUAUCUUGAGUGCCUGAGAGGAUGGCGGAAUUCCCGGUGUAGUAGUGAAAUACGUAGAUAUCGGGAAGAACACCUGAGGCGAAGGCGGCUAUCUGGCGGUGCACUGACGCUGAGGCGCGAAAGCGUGGGGAGCAAACAGG
This 253-nucleotide ribosomal RNA is filed under the name uncultured bacterium. Its description in RNAcentral is "partial 16S ribosomal RNA". It matches the Rfam family "Bacterial small subunit ribosomal RNA", at positions 524 to 776 of the family's 1533-position model. The record is from RNAcentral.